Molecule: long non-coding RNA, 2908 nt
Organism: Oncorhynchus keta (chum salmon)
Lineage: Eukaryota; Metazoa; Chordata; Actinopteri; Salmoniformes; Salmonidae
Exons: 4
Source: RefSeq, a predicted model, not a curated record
GCCUGCCUUGCGGCUGGGGCGGGAAGGGGGUGGUCACAUUCUGGGAAGUGAGAAUGUCAAGUAGCCCCAAGGCAGCCUGGCCAGGAGCUGCUGCUGGUCUCCACUGCACCGGCUUUUAUUUCAUUUCACAACCACAGGCAUGUGAACUUUUACACACUUAGAUGGAGUCUCAUUCACGAGGAAAACCUGAGGAAAACAAAUGGGAGACGGGCUUUGGAAACUAGUGUUCAACACACGCACACAAUUGUUGCCCAGCCCACUCACUUCAUUGUCUUUACGUUGAGGUAAUAGUAACGUAACAGUCGUAAAAGAAACGCCUGACCGGCAUUUCUUUCUCUCUGGUCCUGACAAGAAAAUUAAAAAAAACUUUUCAGAGGUUCUCUUCUGCACUGUUCAACCAGUUCAGUAAAUGUGGAGGAGGAGUUCAGAUGGAGGGUCGUCUUGGUAACGUCCAAAAGGGGAAGUAUCGUCACAGGCUCUCCAUUUCUCCAGAAAACUCGAUGCAGCUGGUUGUCUUCUAACCCUGCAGAGGGUGAGGUAAUAAAUAGGAACAAACACCCCCACAGCCUCUUUAAGAUCUGGCUGUGCUUGUGCUAUCUUUAGAUCUGCUUGAAAGAGGCAUGUCUCCUAUGGCCUGGGUUGGCCUGGGUUGGCCUGGGUCGGUGUGGAGUCUCCUAUGGCCUGGGUUGGUGUGGCGUCACCUAUGGCCUGGGUUGACCUGGGUCGGUGUGGAGUCUCCUAUGGCCUGGGUUGGUGUGGCGUCACCUAUGGCCUGGGUUGGCCUGGGUCGGUGUGGAGUCUCCUAUGGCCUGGGUUGGUGUGGCGUCACCUAUGGCCUGGGUUGACCUGGGUCUGUGUGGAGUCUCCUAUGGCCUGGGUUGGCCUGGGUCGGUGUGGAGUCUCCUAUGGCCUGGGUUGGUGUGGCGUCACCUAUGGCCUGGGUUGGCCUGGGUCGGUGUGGAGUCUCCUAUGGCCUGGGUUGGUGUGGCGUCACCUAUGGCCUGGGUUGACCUGGGUCUGUGUGGAGUCUCCUAUGGCCUGGGUUGGCCUGGGUCGGUGUGGAGUCUCCUAUGGCCUGGGUUGGUGUGGCGUCACCUAUGGCCUAGGUCAGUGUGGCGUCUCCUAUAACCUGGGUUGGCCUGGGUCGGUGUGGCGUCUCCUAUAACCUGGGUUGGCCUGGGUUGGUGUGGCGUCACCUAUGGCCUAGGUCAGUGUGGCGUCUCCUAUAACCUGGGUUGGCCUGGGUCGGUGUGGCGUCUCCUAUGUCCUGGGUUGGUGUGGCGUCUCCUAUGGCCUGGGUUGGUGUGGCGUCUCCUAUGGCCUGGGUUGGUGUGGCGUCUCCUAUGGCCUGGGUUGGUAUAGGUUGGUGUGGUGUCUCCUAUGGCCUGGGUUGGUAUAGGUUGGUGUGGUGUCUCCUAUGGCCUGGGUUGGUAUGGGUUGGUGUGGUGUCUCCUAUGGCCUAGGUUGGUAUAGGUUGGUGUGGCGUCUCCUAUGGCCUUGGUCGGUGUGGCGUCUCCUAUGGCCUGGGUUGGUAUGGGUCGGUGUGGCGUCUCCUAUGGCCUAGGUUGGUAUGGGUCGGUGUGGCGUCUCCUAUGGCCUGGGUUGGUAUGGGUCGGUGUGGCGUCUCCUAUGGCCUGGGUUGGUAUGGGUCGGUGUGGCGUCUCCUAUGGCCUGGGUUGGUAUGGGUCGGUGUGGCGUCUCCUAUGGCCUGGGUUGGUAUGGGUCGGUGUGGCCUCUCCUAUGGUAUGGGUUAGUGUGGCGUCUCCUAUGGCCUAGGUUGGUAUGGGUCGGUGUGGCGUCUCCUAUGGCCUGGGUUGGUAUGGGUCGGUGUGGCGUCAGCUAUUUGGACAUGUUUUUUAAUAUUACUAUGGGACGAGCAUGGUGACUUUUAAGACUGGCUAAUGAUAUUGACAUUGAAUGGCGCGACUGAACAGGUCAUAGGCCCGUGUUUUGUAUGAACCUGUAGGUUGAAUGUUCACUCGUGUCGGUGUGUGAGUUGAAUUUCAGUUGAGGGUACACGCUAAGUUGGUACAAUGGCAUACUAAGGCAGGACCUCUUGUUUUGACUGGGCUUAUCAUUUCAGUGUGAUUUUCUCGUGUCUGUAUGACUGGUCUCUGCUAGCGGCCACUGAAGUCAGAGGAAUGUCACCCACCAACUGUUUCAACACUCCUCCCUAUACCACAUAUCUUUAGAUUUUUUUUUUGACCAAAUACGGAAACAAACAAAUAAAUAUAGCACAAUUUUAGCCACUUAACAUUCCCGCUACAGAAUAAAGUUACCCUGCUCUCACAUAUAGGACACUUAACGUUCAGAUGUAUGGGAUUACCUUGAUACCCAUAGGAGGGGAAACCCCCUUCCCCAGGUGCCCUGUGGUUGCCUGCCUAGUAGGCUAGCUCCCCUGGAUAUAGAAAAGCACAGUGCGUGUGCCAGGCUGGAGACAGACCGCUUUGCCUAUAGAAAUAGAAUAACUAGAAUGGAAAGGGCAUCCCCAUUCAAGUCAAUGUUUUGGGAUGGGUGGGCUGGCGGCCAUAUUUAGUGUACCCAUGCCAGGAAGUAAUUACAUUUCUAUAGUUAGGCCUAUGCCCUCGCCACAGCCUUAACCCAGACCAGUUCACAGCUAGUGCAGUUGCCAUUCACAAAGAGCGUUGACCAACUGGCUGGCUGGCUGUCACAAGGCUAUAAUAGCUUGGGGGUCUCCAACGUUAUUUUUGUCAAUAUGCAUGGGCUGGGGAGGGAAUUGUUGUUGAAGCUUUUUCAGGCACCUUUUGGGGGUUGCAUGGCAUUGUAACUCAACCUAACCCCACUCUGGCUUUUCCAGUGAAUAGGUUAGGCUUUAUUGUACAGGCCUUUUUUUCUCCUGUCGCUCAGCUGAAAAAACAGCCUGCUGUUUGAUCCCUGAUUGUCUACU